Stegodyphus mimosarum is the source of this 92-nucleotide non-coding RNA. NCBI's taxonomy places the organism in Eukaryota, Metazoa, Arthropoda, Arachnida, Araneae, Eresidae. The record is from Rfam.
UCCCCAGUGGCGCAAUUGGUUAGCGCACGGUACUUAUAAGACAGUACUUGUGAGUAAUGCCGGGGUUGUGAGUUCGAGCCUCACCUGGGGAA